UACGAAGGGGGCUAGCGUUGCUCGGAAUCACUGGGCGUAAAGCGCACGUAGGCGGCUUUCUAAGUCAGGGGUGAAAUCCUGGAGCUCAACUCCAGAACUGCCUUUGAUACUGGAGAGCUUGAGUCCGGGAGAGGUGAGUGGAACUCCGAGUGUAGAGGUGAAAUUCGUAGAUAUUCGGAAGAACACCAGUGGCGAAGGCGGCUCACUGGCCCGGUACUGACGCUGAGGUGCGAGAGCGUGGGGAGCAAACAGG
This 253-nucleotide ribosomal RNA is filed under the name uncultured bacterium. RNAcentral's name for it is "partial 16S ribosomal RNA". It matches the Rfam family "Bacterial small subunit ribosomal RNA", at positions 524 to 776 of the family's 1533-position model. The record is from RNAcentral.